This 433-nucleotide ribosomal RNA is filed under the name uncultured bacterium. RNAcentral describes it as "partial 16S ribosomal RNA". It matches the Rfam family "Bacterial small subunit ribosomal RNA", at positions 29 to 507 of the family's 1533-position model. The record is from RNAcentral.
AACGAACGCUGGCGGCAUGCCUAACACAUGCAAGUCGAACGAGACCUUCGGGUCUAGUUGCGCACGGGUGCGUAACGCGUGGGAACCUGCCCUUAGGGUCGGAAUAACUCCCCGAAAGGGGUGCUAAUACCGGAUAAUGGCUUCGGACCAAAGAUUUAUCGCCUUUGGAUGGGCCCGCGUUGGAUUAGCUAGUUGGUAGGGUAAAAGCCUACCAAGGCGACGAUCCAUAGCUGGUCUGAGAGGAUGAUCAGCCACACUGGGACUGAGACACGGCCCAGACUCCUACGGGAGGAAGCAGUGGGGAAUAUUGGACAAUGGGCGAAAGCCUGAUCCAGCAAUGCCGCGUGAGUGAUGAAGGCCUUAGGGUUGUAAAGCUCUUUUACCCGGGAUGAUAAUGACAGUACCGGGAGAAUAAGCUCCGGCUAACUCCGUG